AACCUCACCACUCAAAUAGAGGAUUAUAUGUUUAUAUAUACAAUGGAAUAUGAAAAAAGUGGAGAUACUGAUAUUGAAAAACGGUGACAAAGACUCUGCAGUUGACGCAAUCAAAGAAAAUAUUCCAAAUAAAUCUACAACUGAAUUGGAAAUUUUAAAUAAAAAAUUAUACCAAAAAAUAGUUUAAUGAAGAUAUCAGCAAUUAGACGGUUACUGCAAAACUCAGUUAGUAAACAUUUGAGUAAUAUAUUCACUAUGGAAUCUAACAUAGGUGGUACGCACGGCAAGAGGUUUUUAAAAGAAUUUCAAAAUGUUUACACCGCAGUACUAGAUUCUUUAAUAAGAUUUACGUCGAGCGACAAUUCCGAAACUCAACUACGGAAGGCAUUGCAAUUAUACAAGAACCGUUUUUUUUUUUUUUUCAAAAGAAAGCGAAUGAAAAUAAAUAGAAGCAAUUCCUUCGUUAAGUUUAAGCUUUUAAGAAA
Long non-coding RNA from Ceratitis capitata (Mediterranean fruit fly), 485 nucleotides. RefSeq lists it as uncharacterized. NCBI's taxonomy places the organism in Eukaryota, Metazoa, Arthropoda, Insecta, Diptera, Tephritidae. The record is from RefSeq and is a predicted model, not a curated record. The transcript has 4 exons.